UCCAGGCCAUGGAGAAAUUGGGAAGC
This 26-nucleotide non-coding RNA is filed under the name Homo sapiens (human). The record is from RNAcentral. Lineage: Eukaryota; Metazoa; Chordata; Mammalia; Primates; Hominidae.